Brassica napus (rape) is the source of this 2142-nucleotide long non-coding RNA. RefSeq lists it as uncharacterized. The transcript has 3 exons. The record is from RefSeq and is a predicted model, not a curated record. NCBI's taxonomy places the organism in Eukaryota, Viridiplantae, Streptophyta, Magnoliopsida, Brassicales, Brassicaceae.
GUGCACUGCUUAUUUUCUAUGAAAGCUUGGUUUGAAGUAUGUGUUGGUUCCACCAAUAUUGUUUUUUUGACGAUGCCAAUGUUGUAUAUUGCAUAUGAAAGAUUGUUUUUUUAUUUCUUUCUAUUUGAUUAAAGAAAUAGGUUAGUAUUUGAUUCAUGAUAUGUUUGUGCAUUGGUAGAGUAAGAAAGACAGAUUACUUAAUUGUGUUGCAAUGCAGGGAGUGUAUUGAGCUAAAAUGGGUGUAACACAAUUUAGAAGUAGUCAAUUUGCAGUGAGAGCAUAUCAUCCCAGCAGAAUCAAGCAAACUUCCAUGAGGAGCCAAAUCAAUUGUUUGGGAGCUUCAAGGUCGAGUAUGUUCUCACAUGGUUCCUUGUCCAUGGCCGGAACGUCUAGAAAUAUGCAGAGUCACAGAGCGAAUACGUUUGAUUUCUUAUUUGGUAGAGACAAUACAGAUUACUAUUCCCUUCUUGGAGUUUCAGAACAUUCUACCCCAUCUGAGCUUAAAAAAGGUAUAUAUGAUCAAACCCCUCUGUGAUGACUUGGUACUACACUUUUUGGUAUGACAUUGAUUUGUUCUUACUCUUGUUUAAAAGCUUACCGGAGACUGGCUAAGACAUACCAUCCAGAUGUGAACAAGUAAGCCUCCAUCUUAUGAAAGGUCCAAAUGUUUUAUAUAAAGAAUCUUAAGCUUGCAGGGAUCCUGAUGCAGCAGAUAAAUUCAUAGAAAUAAAUAAUGCAUAUGAGGUCAAAUGAACCCUUUACUCCCUUUGUUCUAGAGAUGCUUUUUUUCUGUUGACUAAAAGAAGCAAAGCUUUUUUUUUUGUGGUUGGUGCAGGUGUUGUUAGAUGAAAUGAAAGCUGUUGACGAUAUUUGUGAGGAUGAAGUCUUAAUACCCAUCAAGAGGACUUGUUACGAUUGGUAUUCUCUAAAGACUCUUAUGGCCAAAUGCACCACUUGCGGCGGGCAAGGUCAUGUGUACACAUCAGUGAAAACUCCUCUUGGUAUGAAGCAAGAAGCCCUGACUUGCUCCUCCUGUAAUGGCACUGGCCAUGUCUUUGAUCUUCGAACAUCUGACAUCUCUUGAAGGCUUUAGUAGGCUCGUCUGUUUAGAACUUAACUAUUUAGUGACUAAUGCAUAAGUAUUUAUUUGACCAGUUCCUAAGCUCCAAUGCGUCUUCUUUCAAAAUAGAAAGGCAAAAAUAGUAGAGAUGGGGGUGAGAGAAGUUCGAACUCUCGACCUCAGGAUCACUCAGUAACAAUCGUGUGAUGUGAACAAAUUACACUACAAUAAACCAAAAGAUCUAACAUGAGGGAACACACAGAACACUUGUUAGGAUGUAGUACCACCUCCAUCCGACAUAAGAGAUGCCGCAGCCGCAACUCAACUCCCGUAGAUAUGAAGGGUUUCGACAAGUGCACAAGCCUGAAGGAAGCAAGGGGGAUGAAUCAGAUAAAGGACACAGACUAUCAUGAGUAAAAUAAAAUAGAUUACAAAAUAUUACGGCGCCAGAAAUUCACAGAAAGAUGAAACCGGAGCUGAAACUUCACCGUAGUUCCAGAUCGGGUGAUCACGGUCUAGUUUUCGAGGUUGAUGAAGAUUGCAGAAGCGAAGAACAACGUGAUGGGUCAGUUUCACAAUGCUCUCUACUUAGGAGAUGUUAAAGAGCGUGUUAAGAUACUGGAGAAGGCUGGUCAUUUGCCUCUAGCGUAUAUCACGGCUUCGGUUCAUGGUUUAAAUGACGUUGCUGAGAGACUAGCAACUGAACUAGGAGACAACAUGCCCGUAUUGCCUGAAGGGAAAACUCCGCCGCUUCUAAUGCCACCGUCUCCCGUCAUGUGUGGUGGUGAUUGGCCUCUUAUAGAGUGGUGAAAGGAUUAUUUGAAAGUGCAGGCAGAGGAGGGGCUGUUGAUGGCGAUUGGGGUGACAUGGUCGGUGUUGAUGGAAUGGAGAACAGAGGCAUGUGGAAGCAGAAAAAGCAGACGAAGAGCUCCCACCAGAGCUUGACACUCCUAAAGUCUAAUGCCAAGGCACGUUCAACCUAUCUUUGACACUGCAAUGCGUCUGGUCCACAGAUUGUAUGUUCUCCUGAUGAAUGUGAGAUAACCUUUGUAUAUAAAAUGGUUGAAACCUUCCUGUAACUG